UGUCGUGAUUGGUGGUAUGGUGAUGCUGUUGAAGCCAAAAAUUGUCAAGCCUGUACCUGUGACCAAUGUGGUUCUCAGCUGUGUGACAACGCUGUAGGACAGUGUAUGUGUAAACCAAAUGUGCAGGGCGAGGACUGCGAUAGCUGUGCACCCAACACAUAUGGAUUUGACAACUGCGAGGGUUGUCGGGACUGUAACUGUGGACUAGCCGCCACCAGCCUUCAGUGUGACCUUGUCAGUGGACAAUGCUCCUG
Ylistrum balloti is the source of this 254-nucleotide long non-coding RNA. RefSeq lists it as uncharacterized. The record is from RefSeq and is a predicted model, not a curated record. NCBI's taxonomy places the organism in Eukaryota, Metazoa, Mollusca, Bivalvia, Pectinida, Pectinidae. The transcript has 3 exons.